This 24-nucleotide transfer RNA is filed under the name Aegilops juvenalis. RNAcentral's name for it is "partial tRNA-Leu". The record is from RNAcentral. Lineage: Eukaryota; Viridiplantae; Streptophyta; Magnoliopsida; Poales; Poaceae.
UCGGUUCGAAUCCGAGUGGCGGCA